This 30-nucleotide non-coding RNA is filed under the name Mus musculus (house mouse). Lineage: Eukaryota; Metazoa; Chordata; Mammalia; Rodentia; Muridae. The record is from RNAcentral.
UNGGCACGCAGUAGGAAUUUUCUGGGAAGG